UAGGGAAUCUUCGGCAAUGGGGGGAACCCUGACCGAGCAACGCCGCGUGAGUGAAGAAGGUUUUCGGAUCGUAAAGCUCUGUUGUUAAGGAAGAACGAGUGUGAGAAUGGAAAGUUCAUGCUGUGACGGUACUUAACCAGAAAGGGACGGCUAACUACGUGCCAGCAGCCGCGGUAAUACGUAGGUCCCGAUCGUUGUCCGGAUUUAUUGGGCGUAAAGCGACCGCAGGCGGUUAGAAAAGUCUGAAGUGAAAGGCAGUGGCUCAACCAUGGUAGGCAUUGGAAACGGUUUAACUUGAGUGAAGAAGGGGAGAGUGGAAUUCCAUGUGUAGCGGUGAAAUGCGUAGAUAUAUGGAGGAACACCGGUGGCGAAAGCGGCUUUCUGGUCUGGAACUGACGCUGAGGAUCGAAGGUGAGGGUAUCGAACAGG
This 429-nucleotide ribosomal RNA is filed under the name Verrucomicrobiota bacterium. RNAcentral's name for it is "Verrucomicrobia bacterium partial 16S ribosomal RNA". It matches the Rfam family "Bacterial small subunit ribosomal RNA", at positions 355 to 776 of the family's 1533-position model. The record is from RNAcentral. Lineage: Bacteria; Pseudomonadati; Verrucomicrobiota.